CAGAGUUUAAGGCUUAGAAAAGUCUGAGAGCCAAAGCAAGAUAUUUUCCCCUCAUUCGAAUUACAUUCUUCUCUUAAUUGAAUGUAAAAUGAUGUAAAUGGGCUGCUGAGUGGCGCAACAGAAAAGUGGUCGCCCUAUCGUUGGGGGAUUGCUGGUUCGAAUCCUGACGAUCAGUGGCCAUGCUCUCUGGGUUGGAGGGAUCGCAUACUCCUGCUCCUACUAGCCAAUGGUGUGCAUCUGUGAGCUCAUGUAUGAGGAAGAGCUUGUAUGAUGUAUGAUAGCUCGCUGAUAAGUGAAACUUGAGUGAAGCAGGCCAUUAAGACUUGUUUAUGCUCAUCCUAGAACACCUAACAUCAUUUCAACUCAUGUGGUCCAGUUUGCCUUUUCUCUAUAUAACUGUUCAUUGUAAUGAUCACACUCCCACUAUCCUGUGUCAUCCAGAUGCUUCACAUCUAAAAAUAAAGUGAUUUAAAAUCAAGUUUCAGCAUUCCAUAAGUCUGUCGCUCACCCCGGACGAAACUGCCGCACUUCAGAUGAAUGCCGCACUUCACACACCUCGUCCUCGGACACCAUCUCCACCACCGGAACAUUAGGAAGAGGCUCGGUGUCUGAUGACAUGACGAACAGUUUCUCUCUCAUCUCUGUGUAUUUGGUCUCUGGCUGAGGUACGACCUUCCCAAUUCCUCCUGAGAUCCAGCCAAUGACUCUCGAUCUGUUGGAGAUUUUACAUAGUUGAUUAUUUUUCCUAUAGAGUGUUUUAUUCCUCUUGUGACAUAGCAUUGGCCAAUCAUGUUUGUACAAAUGUCCAUGUUGUGAAACAUCCAUGAAACAAGUUUUUCUCAUGACUUACGUUAUAGCAGCUAUAAACUGUUGUUCCCUCAUGAGCCUCUUUUAUUUUUCUCUCCCUUCAAGUUAAUAAGACAUAAAAACGCAGUUGUUGCUGCUACAAAACUGUUACAAAGUGCUGACACUGGAGACUCCUUCCAUAAAUGUAAAAUAAACACAGACUUACAGUAAACUUAACCAUAUCAACAAUAGCACACAUAGUGUUAUAGUGUCCACCAUACAAAUCCUUGCUGCUAUAGAAAUGAUAACUUAUUAGAACAAGUCCAUUAAUAUAAACCUGUGAUUUGCCUUGCCACUGGAAACACUGUCAGAGCUGCUGUCAUAGAAAAUUAAUCAACACCAAUCAGAAUUCAACAGCAUAACUAUGGCCAAAACUACAUGUAUGUGGACACCUGACCAUCACACACAUAUAUGUUUGUUGAACAUCUCAUUCAGAUUGAGUCCCUCUGCUAUUAUAAUAAGCUCCACUCUUCUGGGAAGGCUUUCCACUAGAGUUUGGGGUGUGGCAGUGGGGAUUUGUGUUCAUUCAGCUACAAGUGCAUUAGUGAGGUUGAGAUCAGGCACAGAUGUUGGGAUAGUGAGGAGCCUCCAGUUCCAGUUCAUCCCAGUGAGUUUGAGGUCAGGGCUCUCACCUUCUUCCAACCUUAAAACACCAUGUCUUCAUGGAGCUUGUUUGUGCACAGGAGUAUUGUCAUGCUGGAAAAGGUGCGGGCCUCUUAGUUCCAGUGAAGAGAAAUUGUAAUUUUACAGCACACAGAGACAGUCUAUACAAUUGUGUGCUUCCAACUUUGCGGUAUAAGUUUGGAAAAGAACCAUAUAAUGGUGUGAUGGUCAGGUGUCCACAUACUUUUGGAAUAUAAUGUAUAAUAAUAUAUUAAUAAGUCUAUGUGGUUUUCUCUAAGUUCAUCAUACCUGUCUGAAUCCUCAUCUUGAUGUGAC
Molecule: long non-coding RNA, 1785 nt
Organism: Ictalurus punctatus (channel catfish)
Lineage: Eukaryota; Metazoa; Chordata; Actinopteri; Siluriformes; Ictaluridae
Source: Ensembl